ACUGUCCUAGCCACCUUUUAUUUGAGGAGGAUUGUAAAACCAAAAUUCUCCUGCCUUACACAAUUCUGAUUCACACCCCGCUGAGGUACCAGAGGCCAACGUAAUUAAGUUUCUUAGGAAGCUUUUCCACAGAUGAAAGGAUAACCAGCAUCCUAGCUUUGACUGCUGAUGGUCUAGAAACACAGAGACAAUCAGCUCAGAAACCAUUCCCCUGCAUUCUC
This 221-nucleotide long non-coding RNA is filed under the name Anas platyrhynchos platyrhynchos (common mallard). RNAcentral describes it as "lncRNA (ENSAPLG00000030730.1)". Lineage: Eukaryota; Metazoa; Chordata; Aves; Anseriformes; Anatidae. The record is from RNAcentral.